RNAcentral lists this long non-coding RNA (303 nucleotides) under Citrus x clementina. Its description in RNAcentral is "Citrus clementina (C. clementina) long non-coding RNA (CCLE_LNC005708)". The record is from RNAcentral. Lineage: Eukaryota; Viridiplantae; Streptophyta; Magnoliopsida; Sapindales; Rutaceae.
CAAAAGUUAGCUCCCAAGAAUAGCCUUCCGAGCUAUAAAGUACUCUAUGUCAUUAAUUAAAUGAAAAGAUUAAAGAAAAUCAAGCCACGCCAAUUCUGGAUGAUUAAGAUUAUCACGAUCAUAAUCUCAGGCUAAUGUCUCCUUGCAUGCUAUCACCAGGACACGCCAUAUGUGUUAGGUAACGAAUCAGAAUUCUUUGUUAAGCCAAAUUAUGGAUUGUUAAUAGAGAUUUUAUGCUUAAUUUAAAAGUGUUGCUUAUGCAUAGAUUACCCAAAGAAGUUACAUACGUGUUAUUGUUGACCA